This 429-nucleotide ribosomal RNA is filed under the name Bacteroidota bacterium. Its description in RNAcentral is "Bacteroidetes bacterium partial 16S ribosomal RNA". It matches the Rfam family "Bacterial small subunit ribosomal RNA", at positions 355 to 776 of the family's 1533-position model. The record is from RNAcentral. Lineage: Bacteria; Pseudomonadati; Bacteroidota.
UAGGGAAUCUUCCGCAAUGGACGCAAGUCUGACGGAGCAACGCCGCGUGAGUGAAGAAGGAUUUCGGUUCGUAAAACUCUGUUGUUAGAGAAGAACAGCGCAUAGAGUAACUGUUAUGCGUGUGACGGUAUCUAACCAGAAAGCCACGGCUAACUACGUGCCAGCAGCCGCGGUAAUACGUAGGUGGCAAGCGUUGUCCGGAUUUAUCGGGCGUAAAGCGAGCGCAGGCGGUCAAUUAAGUCUGAUGUGAAAGCCCCCGGCUCAACCGGGGAGGGUCAUUGGAAACUGGUUGACUUGAGUGCAGAAGAGGAGAGUGGAAUUCCAUGUGUAGCGGUGAAAUGCGUAGAUAUAUGGAGGAACACCAGUGGCGAAGGCGACUCUCUGGUCUGUAACUGACGCUGAGGUUCGAAAGCGUGGGUAGCAAACAGG